RNAcentral lists this long non-coding RNA (294 nucleotides) under Monodelphis domestica (gray short-tailed opossum). RNAcentral's name for it is "lncRNA (ENSMODG00000039916.1)". The record is from RNAcentral. Lineage: Eukaryota; Metazoa; Chordata; Mammalia; Didelphimorphia; Didelphidae.
AAGUGAAAAAGGAAAGGGGGAGAAGGGAACUUAUAUUAUCAAAUAAAAUAGCACUUGUAAAGCACUUGGCACCAUGCAUGGCACAUAGUCAGCCCUUAAGGAAUGUUUGUUGACUAACUGGUUUCCCACUAUAGCAUGUAAGCCCUACCAGUGCUCUGAAUCUUCUGUAUCUCCUUACUACCAGGGAUGAAAUCAAGUGAUGCUGCCUCCUUCUGUUCCUUCCCCAUCAAGACUACACUUUUCCUCACUUCUCAUAAACAACUUUGCAGUCAUUGUCCUCAUUUUGUUUCCUCA